GAUGAACGCUGGCGGCGUGCUUAACACAUGCAAGUCGAACGGUGAAGCAGGAGCUUGCUCUCGUGGAUCAGUGGCGAACGGGUGAGUAACACGUGAGCAACCUGCCCCUGACUCUGGAAUAAGCGCUGGAAACGGCGUCUAAUACUGGAUAUGUGAUGUGACCGCAUGGUCUGCAUCUGGAAAGAAUUUCGGUUGGGGAUGGGCUCGCGGCCUAUCAGCUUGUUGGUGAGGUAAUGGCUCACUAAGGCGUCGACGGGUAGCCGGCCUGAGAGGGUGACAGGCCACACUGGGACUGAGACACGGCCCAGACUCCUACGGGAGGCAGCAGUGGGGAAUAGUGCACAAUGGGCGGAAGCCUGAUGCAGCAACGCCGCGUGAGGGAUGACGGCCUUCGGGUUGUAAACCUCUUUUAGCAGGGAAGAAGCGAAAGUGACGGUACCUGCAGAAAAAGCACCGGCUAACUACGUGCCAGCCGCCGCCGUAA
This 484-nucleotide ribosomal RNA is filed under the name uncultured bacterium. Its description in RNAcentral is "partial 16S ribosomal RNA". It matches the Rfam family "Bacterial small subunit ribosomal RNA", at positions 28 to 523 of the family's 1533-position model. The record is from RNAcentral.